GAAGCCAGCUUGCAUGUCGUGCGGACUCUCACACAGCCCUAUUCAGAGGUCUACGUGGUCAACAACUGAAGCUUCCUGACAACACCCAGCACCACCUUGCCAGGCCUGUGAAUGAAUGAUCAGCUUAAAAGUGAAUCUGCUAGUCCCAGUCAAGCCUUCAGGUAACUGUAAUCCCAGCCAACAUCUAGACUGUAACCUCAUGAGAGAACCUGAACCAGAACUACCCAGAUGGGAACCACUCAGACUGUGUCCUCUCUCUCUUACUCUCCCAGAGAAGAGAAGAACGAUCAUCAAUGGCCAAUGGCAGUUGCAGUGAAGCCACACCAAGAGCCGGCUUCAUGCUCAGGAGAGAACGCUGCACUUCCUGCUCAUGGUUUCCGGUGCUCUACAAGUUCACAGAAACUUCUCUAGUAGUGCACUGUAGAAAUGAUUCCUGAAAAUAUAGUCUUGACGAGGUGACUCUUAA
This is a long non-coding RNA of Pan troglodytes (chimpanzee), 466 nucleotides long. RefSeq lists it as uncharacterized. The transcript has 2 exons. Lineage: Eukaryota; Metazoa; Chordata; Mammalia; Primates; Hominidae. The record is from RefSeq and is a predicted model, not a curated record.